CCCGACUUAGCUCAGGCUGGCAGAGCGGUCGACUGUAGAUCGACUUGUCCCAGGUUCAAAUCCUGGAGUCGGGA
Transfer RNA from Candidatus Nanosalina sp. J07AB43, 74 nucleotides. It matches the Rfam family "tRNA". From Rfam's summary of the family: Transfer RNA (tRNA) molecules are approximately 80 nucleotides in length. Their secondary structure includes four short double-helical elements and three loops (D, anti-codon, and T loops). Further hydrogen bonds mediate the characteristic L-shaped molecular structure. tRNAs have two regions of fundamental functional importance: the anti-codon, which is responsible for specific mRNA codon recognition, and the 3' end, to which the tRNAs corresponding amino acid is attached (by aminoacyl-tRNA synthetases). tRNAs cope with the degeneracy of the genetic code in two manners: having more than one tRNA (with a specific anti-codon) for a particular amino acid; and 'wobble' base-pairing, i.e. permitting non-standard base-pairing at the 3rd anti-codon position. NCBI's taxonomy places the organism in Archaea, Methanobacteriati, Methanobacteriota, Candidatus Nanohaloarchaea. The record is from Rfam.